GAACGCCCCGCAAGGGGAGUGGCAGACGGGUGAGUAACACGUGGGAACGUCCCCCUCGGUUCGGAAUAACUCAGGGAAACUUGAGCUAAUACCGGAUACGUCCGAGAGGAGAAAGAUUUAUCGCCGAGGGAUCGGCCCGCGUCUGAUUAGCUAGUUGGUAGGGUAACGGCCUACCAAGGCGACGAUCAGUAGCUGGUCUGAGAGGAUGACCAGCCACACUGGGACUGAGACACGGCCCAGACUCCUACGGGAGGCAGCAGUGGGGAAUCUUGGACAAUGGGCGCAAGCCUGAUCCAGCCAUGCCGCGUGAGUGAUGAAGGCCCUAGGGUUGUAAAGCUCUUUCGGCGGGGACGAUAAUGACGGUACCCGCAGAAGAAGCCCCGGCUAACUUCGUG
Molecule: ribosomal RNA, 395 nt
Filed under: uncultured bacterium
Lineage: Bacteria
Description: bacterial SSU rRNA
Rfam family: Bacterial small subunit ribosomal RNA
Source: RNAcentral